UUUUUUUUUUUUGUCUUUUUGUCUUUUUAGGGCCCCACAUGCAGCAUAUGGAGGUUCCCAGGCUAGGGAUCGAAUCAAAGCUAGAGCUGCCGGCCUACACCAGAGCCACAGCAACACGGGAUCCGAGCCGCAUCUGCGACCUACACCACAGCUCACAGCAAUGCCAGAUCCUUAACCCCCCGAGGGAGGCCAGGGAUUGAACCCAAAACCUCAUGGUUCCUAGUCGGAUUCAUUUCUGCUGCACCACAAUGGGAACUCCUGACUUCUUGACAGGAAGCUUUUCUACACCAAGAAAUAAGGACCCUGAGGAUGUCACCAUGAAUGACACUCAGGGAAAUCUGAAUCAAACAAACAACAGUGGUGAUAAAGGGUAUGUAGAAGGUGGAAAAGCACAGGCUUUGCACUCAGACAGAUAUGGUCAACACGUUUACACUCACUUUCUAGCUGAGUGACCUUGGACAAGUUAUUCAACCUCUCAGAGCUUCAGUUUCUUCAUCUGUCAAAUGGGAUAAUAAAAGAGGCUUGUUGUCACCGCGAAAUGAGAAAUUACAUAAAUUAUGAAGCUCUGGCUGGUACACAAGAUGUGUCCUGUCACUCGUCAGUGAUGUUAUCAUCACCAUCACCAUAAUUUUUUUUUUUUUUUUUAAUGGCCGAAGGUGUGGCAUAUGGAAUUUCCCAGGCUAGUGGUCGAAUUGGACCUGCAGCUGCUGGCCUAUGCCACAGGCACAGCAACAGCACCGCGGGAUCCAAGCUGCAUCUUCGACCUACACCACAGUGUCUGGCAAUGCCGGAUCCUUAACCCACUGAGCGGGGCGAGAGAUCGGACCUUCAUCCUCAUAGAUAGGAGUCAGGUUCCUUUCCACUGAGCCUCAACGGGAACUCCAUCAUCGCCAUCAUUAUUGACAGUCCUUGCCUGCAAGGAGCCCACACCACAGUCUGCUAGGGAGGAAUGAUAGGUUUCAGAGCUCUAAUUAGAGAACAAGGUGUCUACAACUAGAUGGAUGGUACAGAUGAGUAUUCAGAGAAGGAGGAGACAGGACCAGCUCCAAGGAGCAGGUGGAGCACAGCCAUGAGGAGACGGUGGAAGCAGCAGUGUGGUGGGAGACGGGAGGGCUUGGUGCAGGGACAGCAGGCAGACCCUGGGUGGGGGACACUCUAUGAGAGGAACUCAGGGGCUGCAGACUUUGGCACCAAAGGUUAGAGGCGGUGACAGUGGACAGAAAGUGAACAGUUCACAGAAUGCAGACACGCAGAAGCCAAUCCUACCCUAAAUGGGUGUGGAGAACCUGGGCAAGUUUGGUCAGAUCCUGAACAGUGUGGGGUAUUAGUUACACUAAGGCAGGAUCGAGCACUCCCUUGGCUAAAUAUAAAUAGUUCCUGCCCUUCACACGCCAACACCGAGAUGUUGAAACUCCAGAGAGACGCAACAUGUCAUCUCAUGGUUAUGGUCCGCAUCAGACUAACACCUGGCCCUAUAACCAACCUGAGAACAGCAACUUGGUUUCUCCCUCUGUAAAGGAAGACUAGUCUCAGCACAUCCUGCCUCCCACGUCACAGGAUGGCACGUGGAGACCGCGUGAGAUCAUGGGUCCCAAGUUGAGAACAAUAGCCAUCUGAAUGAGCUUUUGUGGAGCUAGCUGGGUGCUAGCAUCAGGUGAAGGCGUAAACCCUCUCAGAGCUCCUGCCUCUUCUUGCCUCAGAGGACUUCUCUGCAGAUCACAUGAGAAAACACAUGGUAAGAAGAAAGCAUAACAUGCCAAAUAUAACUAACUCCGGAUGAAACCAAACAACCGCCAAGAUGCACUUCUGCUGCAUUUUUAUUUUUAAUAACUUUUUAUGUAGAAAGAGGAGAAAAUUUAAUUCUAAAAUUUAAGAGAGGAGUUCCCAUUAUGGCCCAGUGGAAAUGAAUCUGACUUGUACCCAUGAAGAUAUAGGUUCAAUCCCUGCCCUCACUCAGUUGGUUAAGGACCCGGCAUUGCCGUGAGCUGUGGUGUAGAUCGCAAAUGUAGCUUGGACCUAGUGUUGCUGUGGCUGUAGCAUAGGCCAGCAGCUGUAGCUCCAAUUCAACCCCUAGCCUGGGAACUCCAUAUGCCAUGGGUACAGCCCUAAAAAAAAGUAAAAUUAAGAGAGAAUUUUUUUUUUUGGCCAUGUCCAUGGCAUGCAGAAGUUCCCAAGCCACAGCAUUAACCCAAGCCUCAGCUUUCACAACGCCAGAUCCUUAAACUGCUGAACCACCAGGGAACUCCUGAGAGAAAACUUAAAUCAUUUGUUUCCUCACCAUUCAAAAAUAUAAGUAGGAGUUACCAUUGUGGCUCAGCAGUAAUGAAUCCAACUUGUAUCCGUGAGAAUGCAGGUUCGAACCCUGGCCUUGCUCAGUGAGUCAGGGACCCAGCGUUGCCGUGAGCUGUGGUGUAGGUAGCAGAUGCAGCUGAGAUCCCAUGUUGCUGUGGCUGUGGCAUAGGCCUGAGGCUACAGCUCCAAUUCAACCCCUAGCCUGGGAAUUUCCAUAUGCCAUGAAUACUGCCCUAAAAAGACAAAAGAAAUAAAAAGAAAUAUGUGUAUAAGUUAUAUACUUUAUUGGCAAAAAUAGAAAGUAUAAAUACUGUUUUACACCCUGCUCCUUUCACUGACCAAAUAACUUUUCUGUUAAUUAUGCAGUCUUUCUACAAUAAGGUUUUAUUUUUUCCUCACGCCCACAGUAUGCGGAAGUUUCCAGGCCAGAAUACACACACACACACACACACACACAUAGGAGUUCCCAUCAUGGCUCAGUGGUUAACGAACACAGCUAGGAUCCACAAGGAUGCAGGUUCAAUCCCUGGCCUUGCUGAGUGGGUUAAGGAUCCGGCAUGGCCAUGAGCUGUGGUGUAGAUCACAGACACGUCUCAGAUCGAGCAUUGCUGUGGCUUGGUAUAGGUCGGUGGCUACAGCUCCAAUUCACCCUCCAGCCUGGGAACUUCCAUAUGCCACAGGUGCGGCCCUAAAAGGACAACAACAACAAAAGAGGAAGAAGAAGACAAUAGGCAGAUGAUGGGAAUAAGACUUGGUCCAUAAGAAGUCAAGCUAGAAUCAAAUUCAGGUCUGAGUACAAAGGCUGGGUUCUUCGUGGUGGAAGCGCACAGAGAAAAUAUAGUGUCUAAGCUAGCAGAGGAUGAGGCUGAUGAUGAAAAAAAUUUACAGUUUCUAAAUUUUUUUUUUAAAUUUUAGUUUUCAUUUUUUGUUGGCCACUCUCAUGGCAUGCAAAAGUUCCCAGGCCAGGGAUUGAAACUGCACCACAGCUGCAACCCAAGCUGCAGUGACAAAGCCAGAUCCUUAACCACUAGGCUACCAAGGAACUCCUUUGUGCACUUUUUAGACUCAAAAUGUUUAUGUAUGUUUCCCCAUGGUUGAACAAAGCGUGGAGCUCUCAUGGACCAAUGAAUGCAGACAUGUCCAGACAGCACAUAAAAGCCACCUUGUUCACUUACAAGUGUUGACAAUGACAGGAGUGGGCAAUGACUAUUUAUGAGAAGUAUGUGGAUUUCCCAGUGCUUAUUUAUACUUUAUGAAUUUGAAAUUAUGUUUAGACCUGCUACAACCCUCACCCAUCACCUAUUUCAAACUUACUAAAGAACAUUAAUUCUAAAAACUGGACACAUUUCUGAGUCUUCACUCAACUAAAGAAUAUGAUAAGUUUUCAAGGGUUUUUUGUUUGUUUUGGGUUUUUUUUUUUUUUUUCCUCUUUUUAGGGCCGAACCUGGCAUAUGGACGUUCCUACGCUAGGGGUCGAAUCUGAGCUAUGGCUGCUGGCCUAUGCCAAAGCCACAGCAAUGGGGGAUUUGAACCGUGUCUAUGGCCUACACUACAGCUCAUGGCAACACCCAAUCCUUAACCCACUGAGCAUGGCCAGGAAUCAUUCUCAUGGAUACUAGCUGGGUUCAUUAUCACUGAGCCACAAUGGGAACUCCAGUUUUUAAGUUUUUUUUAAACUUAAAUAUGUAACAAUUUUAAGUCAUGGAAAAAUACCAAAUUAUGUUUAAUAACUCUGAAAAUAUAUUAGAGAGAUACUAAUAAAAUGUUGGAGGGACAGGAGAAACUUCAAGGGAAGAUGAUUAAGAACAAUGAAGAAGGAGUUCCUGUCGUGGCGCAGUGGUUAAUGAAUCCGACUAGGAACCAUGAGGUUGCGGGUUUGGCCCCUGCCCUUGCUCAGUGGGUUAAGGAUCCGGGGUCGCCGUGAGCUGUGGUGUAGGUCACAGACACGGCUGGGAUCCUGCGUUGCGUGGCUGUGGCGUAGGCCGGCGGCUACAGCUCUGAUUUGAUCCCUAGCCUGGGAAUCUCCAUAUGCCACGGGAGCGGCCCAAGAAAUGGCAAAAAGACAAAACAACAACAACAACAACAACAACAACGAAGAGGAGUUCCUGUCGUGGCACAGCGGAAACGAAUCCGACUAGGAACCAUGAGGCUUCGGGUUCGAUCCCUGGCCUUGCUCAGUGGGUUAAGGAUCCAGCGUUUCCGUGAGCUAUGGUGUAGGUCACAGACAUGGCUUGGACCUGGUGUUGCUGUGGCUGUAGUGUAGGCUGGCGGCUACAGCUCCGAUUCGACCCUUAGCCUAGGAACCUCCAUAUGCCAUGGGAGCAGCCAGAAAAGACUAACAAAAAGAGAGAGAGAAAGGGAAGGACUAAUCAGAUAGAACCAUGAUGCUGGACUAGUCGCUAAGCUAUACCUGAAGUGAACGAGCAUAAACGUAGGAACUAUGGAAUUAUCACUGGGCACCACAUGACGAGGUACUGGGGACAAUACUUAGACAUACUGAAUACGCAAACUCCUGCCAAGCUGGAAAGGCUUCCCUCCACACACUCAGUGUUUGCCACCCUUACUCUAUUUAGAGAGUUGUAUACAGAAGAACCUAGAGAGAAGACAUAGGAAAAUUCAAUGCAAAGAUAGCUUUUAUGUUGAUGGUACCAAAGUUAAAUUACUGAUACCAAUUCCCCUGGAAACAAUCCAUCUUUAUUUUUCUAAGAUACAUCCAGAUGGACAACUUGGUCUCAACAUAAACUGGAAUCCAUCCAUUCAGUCAACAAAAAUUUAUUGGGUAGUGACUGUGUAUCAGGCAUUGUUUCAGGCAAUGAGAAUACUGAAGUGGGAGAAGGGAAGACAGUCCCUGCUUUUAGGGAGUUAUGUUCUGGUAAGAGGAAGACAUCCGGAUAAACUCUAUAUUCGCUGGUGAUAAGUGCCGAAGAGAAAAAUGUCAGUAGCCAUAUAUAGGGAUGUCCUGGAGGAAUGGGAGGUUGCCAUCUUAAACACAGCCAUCAGAGAAGGUCUUCUCAAAAAAAGGCGACUUCUGGAGUUCCCGUCGUGGCGCAGUGGUUAAUGAAUGCAACUAGGAACCAUGAGGUUUCCGGUUCAAUCCCUGGCCUUGCUCAGGGGGUUAAGGAUCUGGCGUUGCCGUGAGCUGUGGUGUAGGUAGUAGAGGCGGCUUGGAUCCCACUUUGCUGUGGCUGUGGUGUAGGUCCAAUUAGACCCCUAGCCUGGGAAUCUCCAUAUGCCAAGGGAAGUGGCCCUAGAAAAAGGCCAAAAAAAAAAAAAAAAAAAAAAAAAAAAAGCGACUUUAGGCUUAAAAACCGUGAAGGGAGGGAGGCAGCCAUGCAGAAUUAUGUGAGGGAAAAACAUUCCCUUUAGCAGGCUCGGAGGCCCUGAAGAGGGAGCAGACCAGAUACAGCAAGAGGACCAGUGCAGCUGAAACAGGGAGCAAGGGAACGUGGUAGGAGUUGAGGACAGAGUGAUAGUGGGUGGAGGGACAGAUUAUGCAGCGCUGUGGAGGCUGGUCUAAAACCUCUGUUUUGGGAGCUCCCAUUGUGGCACAGCGGAAAUGAACAUGACUCGUGUCCAUGAGGGUGUAGGUUCGAUCCCUGGCCUCCCUCAGCGGGUCAAGGAUUCGGUGUUUCUGUGAGCUGUGGUAUAGGUCACAGAUGUGGCUGAGAACCCACGUUGCUGUAGCUAUGGCACAGGCCAGCAGCUGCAGCUCUGAUUCCACUCCUAGCCCGGGAAUCUCCAUAUGCCGCAGGUGCGGCCCUAAAAAGCAAAAAUAAAAAUAAAAAUAGAAGCUCUGUUUUGGGAGUUCCCAUUGCAGGUCAGAAGCUUAAGGACCUAACUAGUAUCCAUAAGGAUGCAGGUUUGAUCCCUGGCCUCUCUCAGGAGGUUAACAAUCCUGCAUUGCCAAGAGACCCCUAGCCUGGGAACUUCCAUAUGAUGCAGGUAUGCCCCCCCCCCAAAAAAAAACCCCUCUGUUUUGGAGCUCAUCUGGUGGCUCAGCGGCUUAAGGAUCCAGCAUUGUCACUGCUGUGGCUUGGGCUGGCCCAGGAACAUUCACAUGCUAUGGGUGCAGCCAAAAAAAAAAAAAAAAAAAAAAAAAAAAA
This 6395-nucleotide long non-coding RNA is filed under the name Sus scrofa (pig). RNAcentral's name for it is "lncRNA (ENSSSCG00035078246.1)". The record is from RNAcentral. Lineage: Eukaryota; Metazoa; Chordata; Mammalia; Artiodactyla; Suidae.